GCCACCUUAGCUCAGCGGCAGAGCGCCACUUUUGUAAAGUGAGGGUCCUCGGUUCAAAUCCGAGAGGUGGCU
RNAcentral lists this transfer RNA (72 nucleotides) under bacterium. RNAcentral's name for it is "tRNA-Thr". It matches the Rfam family "tRNA". Rfam says of the family: Transfer RNA (tRNA) molecules are approximately 80 nucleotides in length. Their secondary structure includes four short double-helical elements and three loops (D, anti-codon, and T loops). The record is from RNAcentral.